UACGGAGGGGGCUAGCGUUGUUCGGAAUUACUGGGCGUAAAGCGCACGUAGGCGGCUUUGUAAGUUAGAGGUGAAAGCCCGGGGCUCAACUCCGGAAUUGCCUUUAAGACUGCAUCGCUAGAAUUGUGGAGAGGUAAGUGGAAUUCCGAGUGUAGAGGUGAAAUUCGUAGAUAUUCGGAAGAACACCAGUGGCGAAGGCGACUUACUGGACACAUAUUGACACUGAGGUGCGAAAGCGUGGGGAGCAAACAGG
This 253-nucleotide ribosomal RNA is filed under the name uncultured bacterium. RNAcentral describes it as "partial 16S ribosomal RNA". It matches the Rfam family "Bacterial small subunit ribosomal RNA", at positions 524 to 776 of the family's 1533-position model. The record is from RNAcentral.